GUCCCCAUCGUCUAGAGGCCUAGGACAUCGCCCUUUCACGGCGGUAACGGGGGUUCGAAUCCCCCUGGGGACG
Transfer RNA from Legionella lansingensis, 73 nucleotides. It matches the Rfam family "tRNA". Rfam says of the family: Transfer RNA (tRNA) molecules are approximately 80 nucleotides in length. Lineage: Bacteria; Pseudomonadati; Pseudomonadota; Gammaproteobacteria; Legionellales; Legionellaceae. The record is from Rfam.